This 253-nucleotide ribosomal RNA is filed under the name uncultured bacterium. RNAcentral describes it as "partial 16S ribosomal RNA". It matches the Rfam family "Bacterial small subunit ribosomal RNA", at positions 524 to 776 of the family's 1533-position model. The record is from RNAcentral.
UACGUAGGGGGCAAGCGUUGUCCGGAAUUAUUGGGCGUAAAGCGCGUGUAGGCGGUCCGGUAAGUCGGCUGUGAAAGUCCAGGGCUCAACCCUGGGAUGCCGGUCGAUACUGCCGGACUAGAGUUCGGAAGAGGCGAGUGGGAUUCCCGGUGUAGCGGUGAAAUGCGCAGAUAUCGGGAGGAACACCAAUGGCGAAGGCAGCUCGCUGGGACGUUACUGACGCUGAGACGCGAAAGCGUGGGGAGCGAACAGG